AAGUCGUAACAAGGUCUCCGUUGGUGAACCAGCGGAGGGAUCAUUACCGAGUUUACAACUCCCAAACCCCUGUGAACAUACCUACAACGUUGCCUCGGCGGCUCCCCGCUUCCCCGUAAAACGGGAGCGGCCCGCCAGAGGACCCAACAAACUCUGUUAUUUUCAGUAUCUUCUGAGUAAAAACACAAUCAAUUAAAACUUUCAACAACGGAUCUCUUGGUUCUG
This 225-nucleotide unclassified non-coding RNA is filed under the name Fusarium sp. Its description in RNAcentral is "partial contains small subunit ribosomal RNA, internal transcribed spacer 1, and 5.8S ribosomal RNA". The stretch from base 1 to 46 matches the Rfam family "Eukaryotic small subunit ribosomal RNA", at positions 1786 to 1831 of the family's 1831-position model. The record is from RNAcentral. RNAcentral also lists the same sequence under 2 other names. Lineage: Eukaryota; Fungi; Ascomycota; Sordariomycetes; Hypocreales; Nectriaceae.